UACGAAGGGGGCUAGCGUUGUUCGGAAUUACUGGGCGUAAAGCGCGUGUAGGCGGGUCUUUAAGUCAGGGGUGAAAUGCCAAGGCUCAACCUUGGAACUGCCUUUGAUACUGGAGACCUUGAGUCCGGGAGAGGUGAGUGGAAUUGCGAGUGUAGAGGUGAAAUUCGUAGAGAUCGGGAGGAACACCCGUGGCGAAGGCGGCCAUCUGGACCAGCACUGACGCUGAGGCACGAAAGCGUGGGGAGCAAAAGGG
RNAcentral lists this ribosomal RNA (253 nucleotides) under uncultured bacterium. RNAcentral's name for it is "partial 16S ribosomal RNA". It matches the Rfam family "Bacterial small subunit ribosomal RNA", at positions 524 to 776 of the family's 1533-position model. The record is from RNAcentral.